This 779-nucleotide long non-coding RNA is filed under the name Populus trichocarpa (black cottonwood). Its description in RNAcentral is "long non-coding RNA (PTRI_LNC003168)". The record is from RNAcentral. Lineage: Eukaryota; Viridiplantae; Streptophyta; Magnoliopsida; Malpighiales; Salicaceae.
GAGGAAAUUUGGCCAAAGAUAAAAUUGGAUAACAUUGAAGGUAGUAACCAAAGUAGUAGAAUUGGACAACAUUGAGGGUAGUAGCCAAAGUAGUAGAAUUUCCUUGGCAAAUCAGAAUCAACAAAUUAUCCAAUAUCACUCCAUACUAAAUUUUAUAAAGCAUAUGAGAUCUCAUCAUCUAAGUCGACACUUGAGAGGAUUUGGUCAGAGAUAAAAUUGGAUAACAUUGAAGGUAGUAACCAAAGUAGAAGGUAGUAACCAAAGUAGUGGAGAAUUGGAUAACAUUGAGGGUAGUAGCCAAAGUAGUAGAAUUUCCUUUGCAAAUCAGAAUCAACAAAUUAUCCAAUAUUACUCCAUACUAAAUUUUAUAAGGUAUAUGAGAUCUCAUCAUCUUAAGUCGACACUAGAGACGAUUUGGUCAGAGAUAAAAUUGGAUAACAUUGAAGGUAGUAACCAAAGUAGUAGAGAAUUGGAUGACAUUGAAGGUAGUAGCCAAAGUAGUAGAAUUUUCUUUCCAAAUCAGAAUCAACAAAUCAUCCAAUAUUUUCACUCCGUACAAGAUUUUAUAAGGCAUACGAGAUCCUCAUGCAGGGCUCUAAUAACCGAACUAUCUAAAAUCUGUCAUAGGCUAGACAAUCUGAUAAUGUAGGCACAUUGUAAAUCAUCAAGAGAAGUACAAAUUAAAAUUGUUCCAUUGUGUAAAAUGAUUGUAUCAGAAGUACCCACCAUAUGCCAUUUCCCAAAACAAGAACAAUAAUGACAAUAAAUCAACAGCACUA